UACGUAGGGUCCAAGCGUUGUCCGGAAUUAUUGGGCGUAAAGAGCUCGUAGGCGGCUUGUCACGUCGGGUGUGAAAGACCGGGGCUUAACCCCGGUUCUGCAUUCGAUACGGGCUGGCUAGAGUGUGGUAGGGGAGAUCGGAAUUCCUGGUGUAGCGGUGAAAUGCGCAGAUAUCAGGAAGAACACCCGUGGCGAAGGCGGUUCUCUGGGAAUGUACUGACGCUGAGGAGCGAAAGUGUGGGGAGCGAACAGG
This 253-nucleotide ribosomal RNA is filed under the name uncultured bacterium. RNAcentral's name for it is "partial 16S ribosomal RNA". It matches the Rfam family "Bacterial small subunit ribosomal RNA", at positions 524 to 776 of the family's 1533-position model. The record is from RNAcentral.